This 426-nucleotide ribosomal RNA is filed under the name uncultured bacterium. RNAcentral describes it as "partial 16S ribosomal RNA". It matches the Rfam family "Bacterial small subunit ribosomal RNA", at positions 354 to 796 of the family's 1533-position model. The record is from RNAcentral.
GUGAGGAAUUUUCCGCAAUGGGCGAAAGCCUGACGGAACAAUGCCGCGUGAAGGAUGAAGGCCUAUGGGUUGUAAACUUCUUUUCUCAGAAAAGAAUUAUGACGGUAUCUGAGGAAUAAGCAUCGGCUAACUCUGUGCCAGCAGCCGCGGUAAGACAGAGGAUGCAAGCGUUAUCCGGAAUGAUUGGGCGUAAAGCGUCUGUAGGUUGUUUAAAAAGUAUUCUGUCAAAGAUUAGGGCUUAACCCUAGAUAGGCAGAAUAAACUUUUAAGCUAGAGUUUGGUAGAGGCAGAGGGAAUUCCCGGUGGAGCGGUGAAAUGCGUAGAUAUCGGGAGGAACACCAAAGGCGAAGGCACUCUGCUGGGCCAAUACUAACACUGAGAGACGAAAGCGAGGGGAGCAAAUGGGAUUAGAAACCCUUGUAGUCC